This 466-nucleotide ribosomal RNA is filed under the name uncultured bacterium. Its description in RNAcentral is "bacterial SSU rRNA". It matches the Rfam family "Bacterial small subunit ribosomal RNA", at positions 338 to 795 of the family's 1533-position model. The record is from RNAcentral.
CCUACGGGUGGCAGCAGUAGGGAAUAUUGCGCAAUGGAGGAAACUCUGACGCAGCGACGCCGCGUGGGUGACGAAGGUCUUCGGAUCGUAAAGCCCUGUCGGAAGGGACGAAAGACGUGAUGGCUAAUAUCCAUCACGAGUGACGGUACCUUUAAAGGAAGCACCGGCUAACUACGUGCCAGCAGCCGCGGUAAUACGUAGGGUGCAAGCGUUGUUCGGAAUCAUUGGGCGUAAAGCGCGUGUAGGCGGCUAUUUAAGUCGGGUGUGAAAUCCCUCGGCUCAACCGAGGAAGUGCAUUCGAAACUGGAUAGCUCGAAGAUGGUAGAGGAAGGUGGAAUUCCAAGUGUAGAGGUGAAAUUCGUAGAUAUUUGGAGGAAUACCGGUGGCGAAGGCGGCCUUCUGGGCCACUCUUGACGCUGAGACGCGAAAGCGUGGGUAGCAAACAGGAUUAGAUACCCUUGUAGUC